This is a long non-coding RNA of Humulus lupulus (European hop), 167 nucleotides long. RefSeq lists it as uncharacterized. The record is from RefSeq and is a predicted model, not a curated record. NCBI's taxonomy places the organism in Eukaryota, Viridiplantae, Streptophyta, Magnoliopsida, Rosales, Cannabaceae. The transcript is spliced from 3 exons.
AAUGAAGUAUUUGUCGACGCAAGGCUCUAAAUCAAUGGCAGCGAUCCGUAACGAAUAUGAUGAACCUGAUGAGCAUGCUAUUGAUGCUUGGAGAGAUACUCAUAUAAAAAAAUCUACGAAGACUUGGGUUAGCGAAACUUGCAAAGAACUACAUGAACAAAUGACCC